RNAcentral lists this ribosomal RNA (800 nucleotides) under uncultured bacterium. RNAcentral describes it as "bacterial SSU rRNA". It matches the Rfam family "Bacterial small subunit ribosomal RNA", at positions 8 to 819 of the family's 1533-position model. The record is from RNAcentral.
AGAGUUUGAUCCUGGCUCAGGAUGAACGCUGGCGGCGUGCUUAACACAUGCAAGUCGAACGGACGUAAGGGGCUUGCUCCUUACGUUAGUGGCGGACGGGUGAGUAACGCGUGAGCAAUCUGCCCAUAUCAGGGGAAUAACAGUUAGAAAUGACUGCUAAUACCGCAUAAGACCACAGAGAGGCAUCUCUCAGGGGUAAAAGAUUUUAUCGGAUAUGGAUGAGCUCGCGUCCCAUUAGGCAGUUGGCGGGGUAACGGCCCACCAAACCGAUGAUGGGUAGCCGGCCUUAGAGGGUGAUCGGCCACAUUGGAACUGAGACACGGUCCAAACUCCUACGGGAGGCAGCAGUGGGGAAUAUUGGGCAAUGGAGGCAACUCUGACCCAGCAACGCCGCGUGAGCGAUGAAGGUCUUCGGAUUGUAAAGCUCUUUAAGUGGGGACGAAGAAAGUGACUGUACCCACAGAAUAAGCCUCGGCUAACUACGUGCCAGCAGCCGCGGUAAUACGUAGGAGGCAAGCGUUAUCCGGAAUGACUGGGCGUAAAGGGUGCGUAGGUGGUUCGGCAAGUUGGUAGCGUAAUUCCAGGGCUUAACUUUGGCGCUACUACCAAAACUGCCGGGCUUGAGUGCAGGAGGGGUGAACGGAAUUCCUAGUGUAGCGGUGGAAUGCGUAGAUAUUAGGAAGAACACCAGCGGCGAAGGCGGUUCACUGGAAUGUAAACUGACACUGAGGCACGAAAGCGUGGGGAGCAAACAGGAUUAGAUACCCUGGGUAGUCCACGCCGUAAACGAUGAAUACUAG